CCCAGCAUGGCGAAGUGGUUUGAGUGUUGGACUACAACUCUGGAGACCAGGGUUCAAUUCCAAGUUUGGCC
Molecule: transfer RNA, 71 nt
Filed under: Phrynosoma platyrhinos (Desert horned lizard)
Lineage: Eukaryota; Metazoa; Chordata; Lepidosauria; Squamata; Phrynosomatidae
Description: tRNA-OTHER
Source: RNAcentral